CGUCAGCUGAUGGCUUGAGUCUUUGUUUCCUGUCAAACCUUUUUUUCCAUCAGCCAAAAUAUAUGAACAUGAACUGCACAUCACAAAAAACAAGGUGGAUCAUUGGCUCGCUUCAUUCAGUGUCUCUGGGUUUGAGCCAAUCACAGUUGGUCUACGGUAUGUAAAUGGAAUAUUUUACGUUCAAAUCUUUCAUUAGAGCGAGAACAGCGCUGGUUCAGCUUCAGCGCCAAAACGUAACCAUGUAUUGUGCUAUGAUAAUUCUGAGUACAGCACUGCUGAUUCAGUCUCAGGAGGAACCUCGAUUGAUCUUUGUGAAAUCAGCAGGACUUGGAGAUAAUGUUACCCUUCAUUGUGAAGCUAAAGACAAGAAUAUUAAUUAUUUAUACUGGUACAAGCAAUCUCCUGGAUACUUUCCCCAAAUUGUUGCUUCAAAAUCGUAUGGAUCAAUUACAAUGAAGCCCCACUUUGAUUUAAGAUUCACAAUGGAAGAAGGUGCUUCUCACUUUAAUCUGAUCAUUCAAAACGUAACUAAAGGUGAUGAAGCUAAUUAUUUCUGUCGACAAUACUCACUUGACUCCUGGGACGAUUGCACCUUUCUGUCUGUCAAAGAUCCCAAUGCGUAGAGGUUUGUCUCCCAGACUGUGGUCCAACAGUCUGUGUCGGCAUCAGCUCAGCUGGGAGACCCUGUGGCUCUCCAGUGCUCUAUUACCUCCCAGAGGA
Long non-coding RNA from Gadus chalcogrammus (walleye pollock), 720 nucleotides. RefSeq lists it as uncharacterized. NCBI's taxonomy places the organism in Eukaryota, Metazoa, Chordata, Actinopteri, Gadiformes, Gadidae. The record is from RefSeq and is a predicted model, not a curated record. The transcript is spliced from 3 exons.